RNAcentral lists this transfer RNA (74 nucleotides) under bacterium. RNAcentral's name for it is "tRNA-Gln". It matches the Rfam family "tRNA". Rfam says of the family: Transfer RNA (tRNA) molecules are approximately 80 nucleotides in length. Their secondary structure includes four short double-helical elements and three loops (D, anti-codon, and T loops). The record is from RNAcentral.
UCCGGGAUCGUCUAACGGCAGGACGCCGCUCUUUGGAAGCGAUAAUCUUGGUUCGAUUCCAAGUCCCGGAGCCA